AUGGCAUUAUGUUUUCAUCUUACAACAGGGCCUUCAAAUCCGGCGGUUAAAAGGAUGCAGGCUCAGGUUAAUCCACUCACCGCCCAAGCCAUUUGGAUCUUGGGCUGCUUUUUUUUGGGUGGCUCGUUGUUAGUCAAGCUUAACCCCUCACACCCCGAGCCCCUCCCGUGCUCCCCUCCCCUGCCCCGCUCGACGCACACCAGAGCUAACCCUAGCCACCGACGCCGCCGCCCCCGGAGAUCCCCGAAGAAUCCAAAGCCCCAAGGCAUGGCUCACCAGGGGCAGCAGCGGCGGCAGGGAGCAGCACCUCGGGUGCCCCUCGUCCCGCGGCCUCGUCAGGCCCCCCUCGUCCCGCCGCUGCUUCAGGCCCCGCUCGUCCCACCACCGGUUCAGGGCCCCCUCGUCCCGCCGCCGGCUCAGGUGGCAAGGCGAGCCAUAACGCAUGCUGACGUGGUUGACGCGUUUGAGGUCGUGAAGUGUGACUGGGCUCCGGUUCGUGCUGGGGUACCUGAGAUUGAGAACACUUUCUAUGAGUUUGACAAGAGAGGAGAUGAUACUAAAAAUCGUGGCGGGAACCUCAUAAAGAGACAUCUGUUCAAUAGGCGGAACCAUGUGGGUAAUAAGAGGCGUGAGAUUUGCCACUAUCUGCCUGCCUACAAGAAGUACGCGAUUCUGCUCAAGAAGCUGAGCAACGACCUGCAAGGCUUAGAGCACAGGCUGGACAAGAAACUGUUGGACUACAAUCAAUACAUGCCUGAGGCCCCAUUGACGAAUCCGGACCAUUUUUCGAGGUACCCAGAGUUGUUGAAGCCAGCAACGAAGGGGAAGAAGGCGACGAAGAAGUAG
This 846-nucleotide ribosomal RNA is filed under the name Triticum aestivum (bread wheat). Its description in RNAcentral is "partial small subunit ribosomal RNA". Lineage: Eukaryota; Viridiplantae; Streptophyta; Magnoliopsida; Poales; Poaceae. The record is from RNAcentral.